RNAcentral lists this ribosomal RNA (428 nucleotides) under uncultured bacterium. RNAcentral describes it as "bacterial SSU rRNA". It matches the Rfam family "Bacterial small subunit ribosomal RNA", at positions 355 to 775 of the family's 1533-position model. The record is from RNAcentral.
UGGGGAAUAUUGGACAAUGGGCGCAAGCCUGAUCCAGCCAUACCGCGUGGGUGAAGAAGGCCUUCGGGUUGUAAAGCCCUUUUGUUGGGAAAGAAAUCCUGUCGGUUAAUAACCGGUAGGGAUGACGGUACCCAAAGAAUAAGCACCGGCUAACUUCGUGCCAGCAGCCGCGGUAAUACGAAGGGUGCAAGCGUUACUCGGAAUUACUGGGCGUAAAGCGUGCGUAGGUGGUUGUUUAAGUCUGCUGUGAAAGCCCUGGGCUCAACCUGGGAAUUGCAGUGGAUACUGGGCGACUAGAGUGUGGUAGAGGAUAGUGGAAUUUCCGGUGUAGCAGUGAAAUGCGUAGAGAUCGGAAGGAACAUCUGUGGCGAAGGCGACUAUCUGGGCCAACACUGACACUGAGGCACGAAAGCGUGGGGAGCAAACAG